UACGUAGGCAGCAAGCGUUGUUCGGAGUUACUGGGCGUAAAGCGUGCGUAGGUGGUUCGUUAAGUCUGAUGUGAAAGCCCUGGGCUCAACCUGGGAAUGGCAUUGGAAACUGGCGACCUAGAGUGCGGUAGAGGGUAGUGGAAUUCCCGGUGUAGCAGUGAAAUGCGUAGAGAUCGGGAGGAACAUCUGUGGCGAAGGCGACUGCCUGGACCAGCACUGACACUGAGGCACGAAAGCGUGGGGAGCAAACAGG
RNAcentral lists this ribosomal RNA (253 nucleotides) under uncultured bacterium. RNAcentral describes it as "partial 16S ribosomal RNA". It matches the Rfam family "Bacterial small subunit ribosomal RNA", at positions 524 to 776 of the family's 1533-position model. The record is from RNAcentral.